CCAUCUCUUAUGUUUGGACUGCACCUUAAUUUUCACCACAUGAGUUCAUCUGCAUUAGCCCCAAAAGAGAGAUCUAUCUCCUGCCCUGGAACAUGGGCAGCGCUUUUGACUGUCUCCGUGCAUAUAAUAUGGUGGAAGUGACACUGCUUGACUUGUGAAGCUGGAUCACAAUGGGUUAUUGACUUCCACCAGCCUGUCUCCGGGGACAGGUGACUUCAUGUAAGAAGUCCAGCUACCCUGACAGAGAGUCCACAUUGGAGGGAGCACACUGUAAUAGACAGAGGUGCCUGAGGAGCCCCGGCUGUUCCAGCCGCCAGCUAUUUAGGUCUUCCCAAGUCAGGCACCAGAGAGUAUGAAUGGAAAGGCCUUCAAGAGAACUCUAGCCCCAGCCAUUGUCUGAUUGUCACUGCAUGAGGACCAAAAACUACCUAGCUGAGCCCCAUCAACCCCUAAAGAAGUGAAAGAUAGUAAUGACAAAUGCUUGCUGUUGUUUUAUAGCACCAAGCUCUGAGUGGUUUGUUGUGCUGCAGGCUCCAAGAGAAGUAACUUUCUGAGAGCACUCAGGAAUUUCUUAGUGGAACUGGGGCUAGAAUCAAUUCACUGCAUUUAAUGCAGUAUUAACCAGACAACUGUGUUGGGCCCUGGGGACCAGAGAAGAAUUAACACACAGCCCAAGCCUUCCCCUGGUCUGAGCUUCCUCUUCCCACCUUCAUAUUCAUGGCAGCUUCUUCUUGCUGGGAGUGGGAUAGAGGAGCCCUAGGGCUGCUGGCUUCUGGAAGGAACUGGCUCCAGGGCACCCUGGCUAUUCCCUUGCUCCAUGCUGUGUGCAGGUGGCUCUGGCACCAAGAGGUGGCACCAAACCUGCUGCCAGCCUUGGCUUUCUCACCAGUCCUGCUCUGAUGAGUUGACAGGCUGUGUUUGGAAUUGAGCAUGGCGGUAUUACAAAGGCAAGUGGGUACCACACAACCUGCCCGCAGUGUUGCUUUGUUCUGAUGAAUUACACUGAGUCCCUGGAUUCACAUUUGGCUGGAUUGUCAGGAAAAAUAUGUGUUCUGGGUGCCACCUGAUCUUUUCAUCUAGCUUCUGUCCUCAGGUAAACAUUCCCUGUUAAAAUUCUAAAUGUUCAUCUGCUUCCUCUAAAGAGAUUGGUAAAAAGGCAUAAAACACCUAAGAAUCAGUGUUACUUGUAAUGAGCCCAGGGCUGCCGCAGGGAGCACCAUAUACAUAGAAUACCAGGUGAGUGAGUGGGGCCCUCAGGGCUGAAGUAUUAUGCUCUAGGCCAGAAAAAGGAUAUUUUCUUUUUAUUCCUGGGAUACAGAUAAUGUAUUUUCACAUAACAGCCACAUGUUUCAUGAAUUAAGCCAACAAAUAUUUACCAAGUAUCCUUUAAAUCCUUUAGUAUUUAAAGUAUCAUUUUUUGCAAAAAAAAAAAAAA
This 1435-nucleotide long non-coding RNA is filed under the name Homo sapiens (human). RNAcentral's name for it is "HSALNT0342418". The record is from RNAcentral. Lineage: Eukaryota; Metazoa; Chordata; Mammalia; Primates; Hominidae.